CCUACGGGCGGCAGCAGUGAGGAAUAUUGGUCAAUGGGCGGGAGCCUGAACCAGCCAAGCCGCGUGAGGGAAGAAGGUACAGCGUAUCGUAAACCUCUUUUGUCAGGGAACAAAGGCGGGGACUAGUCCCCGGCUGAGGGUACCUGAAGAACAAGCAUCGGCUAACUCCGUGCCAGCAGCCGCGGUAAUACGGAGGAUGCGAGCGUUAUCCGGAUUUAUUGGGUUUAAAGGGAGCGUAGGUGGAUUGUUAAGUCAGUUGUGAAAGUUUGCGGCUCAACCGUAAAAUUGCAGUUGAAACUGGCAGUCUUGAGUACAGUAGAGGUGGGCGGAAUUCGUGGUGUAGCGGUGAAAUGCUUAGAUAUCACGAAGAACUCCGAUUGCGAAGGCAGCUUACCAAGCUACUUCUGACGUUGAGGCACGAAAGCGUGGGGAGCAAACAGGAUUAGAUACCCGAGUAGUC
This 460-nucleotide ribosomal RNA is filed under the name uncultured bacterium. RNAcentral's name for it is "partial 16S ribosomal RNA". It matches the Rfam family "Bacterial small subunit ribosomal RNA", at positions 338 to 795 of the family's 1533-position model. The record is from RNAcentral.